CGUAAUGGGGAGAUAAUUUUGAAGAAGUAAAAUCCUGACUGUAUGAAUAACAUUUCUGUAUAUAUACAAAUUGACAACGUUCCGCCUUGUGAUACGCUUUUCGUACAAUACUAUUUUAAGGAUCUACUUUGCUGGAGCUCACCUUCACUAGUUUAUUCGAAUGAUAUUUUCUAAAUAUUUCUGUUAUUUUAUUUGCACGACAAAAUGAAAGACG
This 214-nucleotide long non-coding RNA is filed under the name Mytilus galloprovincialis (Mediterranean mussel). The record is from RNAcentral. Lineage: Eukaryota; Metazoa; Mollusca; Bivalvia; Mytilida; Mytilidae.